GUGGGCCAAUGCUAUUAUUACUUAUAGUAUAUUUUAUUAUUUAUUAUUAUGUUAUUUGUUCAUAUUUUUAUUUUUUGAGUUAUAAGCCAUUCAAAGAUGUUAGAAGUAUACAGGGUUGACCAAACGAGGAAAAAGUUGUGCAAUUAGUAAGUCUAUAAAGAAUCUUAGCUAUGUCUUUAAACUCGAAAUAGCAACGAACCUACAAGGAAAAAAAGAAAAAAGUGCAUUUUAUUAAAUCACUUAUAUCUUGUUUAUUAGGAUGGGGGCUUAUCCGAAGACCAAGCCAGAAUGCCUCCUAGAGACCAAGAACUGCUUACACCAAAUCCCCUGUGAAUCUGAAGGGUCAUACAUUGACAAGACAAAGUGAACAUUGUAAUUCAAAAAAACAUCGAAAGAGGACCUGAAUAGGAGUUGCCAGAUCAGGAAUAGCAGAACACGCUUGGUUUAAUGGCUAUUAUGUCCUGUAUGAAAUUAUCAUUUGGAAUGUCUUUGUUAUAAUUUAACAUAGAAUGUCUUGUAUAUUACGAUAUUUUUAUUGUUUAUAAUUAUUUUAAAUAAGUUUAGGAUUUUAAUCGGAAAUCAUUAAAUAUAAUAAUCUUACUAUUUUUA
Long non-coding RNA from Anthonomus grandis grandis, 609 nucleotides. RefSeq lists it as uncharacterized. NCBI's taxonomy places the organism in Eukaryota, Metazoa, Arthropoda, Insecta, Coleoptera, Curculionidae. The transcript is spliced from 2 exons. The record is from RefSeq and is a predicted model, not a curated record.